GCGCCCGUAGCUCAGCUGGAUAGAGCGCUUCCCUGCGGAGGAAGAGGUCUGAUGUUCGAAUCAUCACGGGCGCACCA
RNAcentral lists this transfer RNA (77 nucleotides) under Ignavibacteriota bacterium. RNAcentral's name for it is "Ignavibacteriae bacterium tRNA-Arg". It matches the Rfam family "tRNA". Rfam says of the family: Transfer RNA (tRNA) molecules are approximately 80 nucleotides in length. RNAcentral also lists the same sequence under 1 other name. The record is from RNAcentral. Lineage: Bacteria; Pseudomonadati; Ignavibacteriota.